GAUGAACGCUAGCGGCAGGCCUAACACAUGCAAGUCGAGGGAGAAGCCCUUUCGGGGGCAGAAACCGGCGCACGGGUGCGUAACGCGUAUGCAGCCUACCUUUCACAGGGGGAUAGCCCGAAGAAAUUUGGAUUAAUACCCCAUAAUAUUAUUGGAUGGCAUCAUUUGAUAAUUAAAACUGCGGUGGUGAAAGAUGGGCAUGCGUCCUAUUAGCUAGUUGGAGUGGUAACGGCACCCCAAGGCUACGAUAGGUAGGGGUCCUGAGAGGGAGAUCCCCCACACUGGUACUGAGACAGGGACCAGACUCCUACGGGAGGCAGCAGUGAGGAAUAUUGGUCAAUGGUCGGAAGACUGAACCAGCCAUGCCGCGUGCAGGAAGAAUGCCUUAUGGGUUGUAAACUGCUUUUAUAUGGGAAGAAUAAGGCGUACGUGUACGUUGAUGACGGUACCAUAUGAAUAAGCAUCGGCUAACUCCGUG
This 478-nucleotide ribosomal RNA is filed under the name uncultured bacterium. RNAcentral's name for it is "partial 16S ribosomal RNA". It matches the Rfam family "Bacterial small subunit ribosomal RNA", at positions 28 to 507 of the family's 1533-position model. The record is from RNAcentral.